Molecule: ribosomal RNA, 401 nt
Filed under: uncultured bacterium
Lineage: Bacteria
Description: bacterial SSU rRNA
Rfam family: Bacterial small subunit ribosomal RNA
Source: RNAcentral
UAAGGAAUCUUCCACAAUGGGGGCAACCCUGAUGGAGCAACGCCGCGUGAAGGAUGAAGGCCCUAGGGUCGUAAACUUCUUUUGUUAGCGAAGAAUAUGACGGUAACUAACGAAUAAGGGUCGGCUAACUACGUGCCAGCAGCCGCGGUCAUACGUAGGACCCAAGCGUUAUCCGGAGUGACUGGGCGUAAAGAGUUGCGUAGGCGGUCUGUAAAGCGAACAGUGAAAGCUGAUGGCUCAACCAUCAAUACAUUGUUCGAACUCACAGACUCGAGAAUGGUAGAGGUAGCUGGAAUUUCUAGUGUAGGGGUAAUAUCCGUAGAUAUUAGAAGGAACACCAAUGGCGUAGGCAGGCUACUGGACCAUUUCUGACGCUGAGGCACGAAAGCGUGGGGAGCGAA